ACGAGGAGAAAGUUAGGCUCAAUCGUGUGCUAGCACGAUUUUCUUGAACCUAAUUGGAUCUUAUCCAAAUCAAUUGGGUUAGCCCAAUUGAUGACAUCCAGACCCUAACCCUUGUUUGUGUGAUCUAGUUAGGUUCAAUUCUGUAUAGUAAUGAGACAUGUCGUGAUCUCAUCAUCGACAUCAUCGAAACUCCUUUCGAUGGAUCAGAACUCUUCUGAUUCAGA
This 224-nucleotide long non-coding RNA is filed under the name Elaeis guineensis (African oil palm). Its description in RNAcentral is "long non-coding RNA (EGUI_LNC043146)". Lineage: Eukaryota; Viridiplantae; Streptophyta; Magnoliopsida; Arecales; Arecaceae. The record is from RNAcentral.